GUAUUUUCGUCUCAACAGAAAAUCAGUGUAAGUCCUAGAUUCCUUCUAAAUAUGAAAAAUUACCAACAUUUUGCUUUGGUUGUGGAAUGAUGGGGCACGGGCUCACUGAAUGUCUUAAGUCAAUUCCUGUAGAAAAAAAUAAAAUUAGAGAUGAUCUUCAUUUUUCUUUAGCACUAAAAGUAGAAGUAAAUUUUAAUGGUAAGGAGAGUUUAAAGUUUAGUGCCUUUUCAAAAAAGAUGCAGACUCAAUGUUCAUAUACAGAUGGUAUAGAGAAAAUCUUUAAGCCAAUUUUUGAAGAAAAGGGUAAUACUGAUACUGACCAGAAUAGUCAGGAUGGUGCACAAUUCACAGGAAAGGUGACAGCAAUGAUGAUGCAGGAGAGAGCGAUAGUUAGAAAAGAAAACGAGAAUGGGGAAAUCAAUAAUCACGAAGGAAGAUCGAAGCCAAUCAGGAAGCCAAUAUGAAAGAGAUUAGAGACAAAAAGAGACAUGGAGAGUGGAAAUGGAGAGAGUAAAUUGAGAAAGAGAAAAUCAGAGGAUAUAGAAAUUGAAGAUGACAGAAAUAGAAAUUCUUGCGAGUGGAAGCAAAAAGAGUGAAGUUUGAUGACCAAGAUUCUCACAACAACGGGAACUCACUUUUGGUGACAGAAAAUCUCAAGCAAUGUGGUAUUACCAAUCAAGAUAGAUGGACGGCUGCCAGAUGGCAAGUCGACCGGACACAAUGAAAACUACCUGUUGGAACGUUCGUGGAUUGGGGAGUCUACGGGCAAUAAUAAGGCUUCAGUUUUUGCUAAAGCAACAUAAACCCCAAAUGGUUUUCCUCAUGGAGACCAAAAUCGAUGAAAAGCGUAUAGAAAGAAUUAGGAGGAGAUGUGGUUUCGAGAAUGGUAUUGAUGUUGGAGCAGAAGGCUCUAGAGGUGGAAUUUCUUUGGCAUGGAAAGCAGAAAUUACGGUUCGACUAAACAAUUUCUCUAAAAACCAUAUUGACGUGCUGGUAAAAGAGGAUAAUGUUAAUCAAGAGUGGAGAUUUACAGGGUUCUAUGGUUUGCCUUACAUUACUAAUAAGGAUGACUCGUGGAAUUUGUUGAGGAGGUUGGGUCAAAAUCAAAACCAUCCAUGGUUAGUAUGUGGUGCUUUUAAUGAAAUAUUGUAUUCUUUUAAAAAAAGUGAAGGUCAACCGAGGGAGGAAAAAAGAAUGAAAGUUUUUUACGAGGUUUUAGAAAAAUGUCAAUUAAUGGAUGUGGGGUAUUCGGGGGGUGGUUUACAUAGGAAAGAGGGAAUCUACCAGAAAUAAAUAUUAAAGAGCGAUUGCAUAGAGGCAUGGCAAAUGAAAAAUGGAUGCAUCUUUUUCCAAAAGGAGCUAUUUAUCACUUAGCAUACUCGAUUUCAGAUUAUUGUCCCUUACUUAUUAAUACUAAUAAAAAGACAAUUUUUAAAGGAAGCCCAAGUUUCAAGUUCGAGGCAUGGUGGACAAUGGAGGAAUCUAUUGAACAAGAGAUUAAAACUCGUAGGAAUCAUCGAAUGAAACUAUUGUUGAAAAGCUUGGAAGGUUGCAUAUUAGAUUGAUUAGGUGGGCAAGUUCAAUAAAGAGAGGCAGUGAUGGGUUAAAGAAUAAGCUGAUGAAAGAACUUGACGAGUUAAUGGCAAGGGAUAGAGAUGAUGACACAUUGGUAAAACUGAUUGAUACUAGGAUUCAACUCAAUAUGGAGAUUGAUAAAGAUGAAAUGUACUGGGAACAAAGGGCACGAGCCAAUUGGCUUCAAUUAGGAGAUAAUGGAUCCAACUUUUUUCCAUAAACAUGCCUUAGUUCGUAGACGAAUUAACACUAUUACUAGGCUGGAAACGGAAGACGAGAGGGAUAUCUUUGGUGAAAUAGCAAUUAAUAAGGCAACUUCAAAUUACUUCCAGAACUUAUUUUCUUCAUGGGGGAUUGGCAAUUUAUCCCACCUUCUAAAAUGUAUUAAUUCUAAUAUUUCAUCGGAUAUUAAUGUAGAUUUAUUAGUACCUUUUACAGAAGAAUAAGUAUUUUUAACUUUGAAAGGAAUGGGGCCCACUACAACACCUGGUUGUGACGGCUUUUCAGCUUUAUUUUUUCAAAAAUUCUGGCACAUUGUAGGUAAAGAUGUUGAAAAUUUUUGUUUAGGAAUUCUGAAUGAGGGAAGAGAUAUAAACUCUAUAAAUAUCACAGACAUUGUGCUUAUCCCUAAACUACCAAAUCCCACGAGUCUUGUUAAUUUCAGAACUAUCAACUUAUACACAGUUUUAUACAAAAUUAUGGCAAAAGUAAUCACUAAUCGCCUUCAAGGAGUAAUUGGAGAAUGUAUUGACAAGGCUCAAAGUGCUUUUAUCCCUAGAAGGCUACUUACUGACAAUGUGCUUGUGUCCUAUGAACUCUUACAUACACUACGUCAAAAACGAAUUGGGAAAAAGAGGCUUAUGGCAGUCAAACUAGAUAUGAGCAAAGCUUACGACAGAGUUGAAUGGGCUUUUCUAAAGGAAGUUAUGAUUCAAAUGGGAUUUGCAGUGGAGUGGGUGACUUUAAUCAUGAAGUGCAUCUCCACAGUCUCGUACACAGUGAGUGUCAAUGGAAGAAGAUGAGAUGUUUUUAAACCCACCAGAGGGCUUCGUCAGGGAGAUCCGCUUAGUCCUUUUCUUUUCUUGAUAUGCAGUGAAGGACUCUCGUGGCUAAUAAGAAUGUCAAAAGUGGAGGGAUCCAUGAAGGGAGUAAGAGCUAGAAGAAGAGGACUAGAAAUAUCACAUCUGCUGUUUGCAAAUGAUUGCAUACUGUUUGGAGAAGCGACACAUAAAUGGGUAAAAAUUUUAAAAGGAAUUUUAAGAGAAUAUGAAUAGUGCUCAGGCCAAUGUGUGAAUUUUGGUAAAUCGAUAAUUUUUUAUAGUUCAAAUACAACUGAAAGAGACAAAGCAGAAACUUCGAGUAUGUUAGUUGUUCGAUGCUCCACCAAUCUGGAAAAAUAUCUAAGACUCCCUACUGUUAUAGGCAGGCGAAAGAAUGAAGCUUUUCAAAAUCUCAAGGAUAAAGUGAAUACUGUCAUAAGGGGGAAAGGAGGUCUUUAUAAAAUCUAUUCUUCAAGCAAUUCCAACCUAUGCUAUGUCAUGUUUCCUCUUACCAAAAUCGUUAUGUAGGAAGCUGGAAAAUAUUUUCACAAAAUUCCAGUGGCAAAAAGGUCAGGGAAGGAAAUGGAUUCACUAGUGCCGAUGGAAUUUUAUGUGUCGAUCAAAAGAUGAGAAGGGAAUGGGCUUUAGAAAUUUAGUGCAAUUUAGUAUUUCACUAUUAGCUAAGCAGGGGUGGAGGCUUAUUACAAACCAGAAUUCCUUAGUUACGCAAGUGUUUAAAGCUAAGUGUUUUCCGAAUGAUAAUUUUUUAAAUUCUCGAUUGGGGAAAACCGAUUCUUACAUAUAGAAAAGCAUGUGUACAGCGAAGGGUGUUUUGGAAAAAUACAUGUAUUGGAAGGUCGGUACAGGUACACGUAUAUAUAUCAAUACUGAUGCUUAGAUUCUAGAUGCUGUUAAUUUUAAGUUAUCUUCAGUUAUUAAUGCCAUGCAAGAUGUUAAGGUCAAUGAGUUGAUCAACAGUAAUGAGAGAACAUGGAAGUGAGAUUUCAUAAACAAUAAAUUUUCCGCAGAUGAUGCUGGAAAAAUCCUUCGUAUCCCUUUAGCACGCACACCUCACGAAGAUUUCUUGGUCUGGGGAGGUGAGUAUUCAGGUGAGUUUUCGGUUCGCAGUGCCUAUAAACUAUUACAAUAAACUAUUACAAGGUUUGGAGGAAAUUCCUAGAGCUUACACUUUACAAACAGGCUAUAUGAACUUUUACAAAAAACUAUGGCUCCUUAAUCUACCAAGCAAAAUUAAGGUUACAAUAUGGAGAAUCUCAUGGAAUUAUUUGUCGACAAGGGUUAAUAUGCAGUAGCAUUAGCUCGUCAGUAACACAAACUGCCCUCGGUGCGGUGAAAGUGCUGAAACAAUCGACCAUAUUUUUCGCAAAUGUCCUGUCACAGUGGAAGUUUGGUCACUAUUAAAAAUUCAGAAUUUGAUUCUGGUUCCUAACAUGGAUUUUUUAUAGUGGAUUACCUGGAUUUUUGAUCUAUUUUUUAAAGGGCAACAAAUAGCAGACUUCAUCAACAACUAUAUUGUUGAACCUAAUGGGCUUGAAAUAAGAAGGUCAAUUAAGGGAAAGGAAACAAGAAAGUGGAGCUACCCACAUCGCGAAUUCGUUAAAAUAAAUUUUGAUGGUGCGUAUGAUGCGACUCACCAUAAAUCUGCCUCAGGGGUUGUGGUCAGAGACGAGGAAAGGCUUGUCCUUCUUUCCUACUCAGAGAUCAACCACGGGGUAUCUUCCGCAUUUGCAGCCGAAGCAAUAGCGUGUAGAAAAGCGGUCAAAGUAGGAGUGGGACAACAAUGGCCGAAGGUGAUAAUAGAAGGCGACUCCCUCACGAUAAUCAAAAAAUGCACAACCAAAAGUCAAGAUCGUUCACAUAUAGGAGCUUAUAUACACGAUAUACAACAAAACAUUAACAGAUCGAGAAGCUUCUUUUUCAAACGUACAAUAAGAUCUGCAAACAACCUUGCGCAUGUAAUAACAACGGAAACUUUAAGAAGGAAGGAGGAGACGUACCUGGAAAUGGGGGUUCCGGUGUAUGCUGAGAUUCAACAAAGAAUGGAUCAGAGACGAGAGCCAGAUUGAUAACAGAGGGGAAACAGAGAAAUGAAAGGAAAGUAAAGGAAAGUCGGAGAAAUGGUUUUUGAAAGGAUAAACUUUCCUAAAAGCUGAAUCGUUAAAAGAAAAUUGAAAGGUACAUUGAUGAUACGACGGUUUACAGUAUGAUCUGACUGGGCAUUAAUUAGGUACAUCAAUCUAUAAUUUUUGACUGUUUGAUAAAUAUCUAGAUAUUUUCUAAUUAGUUUUUGAGCCUUUUUAGUUUCAGGCCGUGUCUUGUUUAGGUGCUGAUUGGUUUUCUCUUUUGCUUUUGGACUUUUACUAUGUACUUUUAUUUUAUUCAGUAUACAGCCCAGUCUGAAUUCUUUCAAAAAAAUUCAUUAAUAUAAUUCAGAAA
This 5072-nucleotide long non-coding RNA is filed under the name Gossypium barbadense (sea-island cotton). RNAcentral describes it as "long non-coding RNA (GBAR_LNC009402)". Lineage: Eukaryota; Viridiplantae; Streptophyta; Magnoliopsida; Malvales; Malvaceae. The record is from RNAcentral.